GGUAUAGCAUUAUACCGUGAAACUGCGAAUGGCUCAUUAAAUCAGUUAUCGUUUAUUUGAUAAUACCUUACUACUUGGAUAACCGUGGUAAUUCUAGAGCUAAUACAUGCUGAAAAUCCCGACUUCGGAAGGGAUGUGUUUAUUAGAUAAAAAACCAAUGCCCUUCGGGGCUUUUUGGUGAUUCAUGAUAACUUUACGGAUCGCAUAGCCUUGCGCUGGCGACGGUUCAUUCAAAUUUCUGCCCUAUCAACUUUCGAUGGUAAGGUAUUGGCUUACCAUGGUUUCAACGGGUAACGGGGAAUUAGGGUUCGAUUCCGGAGAGGGAGCCUGAGAAACGGCUACCACAUCCAAGGAAGGCAGCAGGCGCGCAAAUUACCCAAUCCCGACACGGGGAGGUAGUGACAAUAAAUACUGAUACAGGGCUCUUUUGGGUCUUGUAAUUGGAAUGAGUACAAUUUAAACCUCUUAACGAGGAACAAUUGGAGGGCAAGUCUGGUGCCAGCAGCCGCGGUAAUUCCAGCUCCAAUAGCGUAUAUUAAAGUUGUUGCAGUUAAAAAGCUCGUAGUUGAAACUUGGGCCUGGCUGGCGGGUCCGCCUCACCGCGUGCACUCGUCCGGCCGGGCCUUCCUUCUGAAGAACCUCAUGCCCUUCACUGGGCGUGCUGGGGAAUCAGGACUUUUACUUUGAAAAAAUUAGAGUGUUCAAAGCAGGCCUUUGCUCGAAUACGUUAGCAUGGAAUAAUAAAAUAGGGCGUGCGUUUCUAUUUUGUUGGUUUCUAGAGACGCCGCAAUGAUUAACAGGAACAGUCGGGGGCAUCAGUAUUCAGUUGUCAGAGGUGAAAUUCUUGGAUUUACUGAAGACUAACUACUGCGAAAGCAUUUGCCAAGGAUGUUUUCAUUAAUCAGUGAACGAAAGUUAGGGGAUCGAAGACGAUCAGAUACCGUCGUAGUCUUAACCGUAAACUAUGCCGACUAGGGAUCGGGCGAUGUUCUUUUUCUGACUCGCUCGGCACCUUACGAGAAAUCAAAGUUUUUGGGUC
This 1039-nucleotide ribosomal RNA is filed under the name Alternaria alternata. RNAcentral describes it as "SSU rRNA". It matches the Rfam family "Eukaryotic small subunit ribosomal RNA", at positions 62 to 1113 of the family's 1831-position model. Lineage: Eukaryota; Fungi; Ascomycota; Dothideomycetes; Pleosporales; Pleosporaceae. The record is from RNAcentral.